This 253-nucleotide ribosomal RNA is filed under the name uncultured bacterium. RNAcentral describes it as "partial 16S ribosomal RNA". It matches the Rfam family "Bacterial small subunit ribosomal RNA", at positions 524 to 776 of the family's 1533-position model. The record is from RNAcentral.
UACGAAGGGGGCUAGCGUUGCUCGGAAUCACUGGACGUAAAGGGUGCGUAGGCGGGUCUUUAAGUCAGGGGUGAAAUCCUGGAGCUCAACUCCAGAACUGCCUUUGAUACUGAAGAUCUUGAGUUCGGGAGAGGUGAGUGGAACUGCGAGUGUAGAGGUGAAAUUCGUAGAUAUUCGCAAGAACACCAGUGGCGAAGGCGGCUCACUGGCCCGAUACUGACGCUGAGGAGCGAAAGCGUGGGGAGCGAACAGG